RNAcentral lists this ribosomal RNA (468 nucleotides) under uncultured bacterium. Its description in RNAcentral is "partial 16S ribosomal RNA". It matches the Rfam family "Bacterial small subunit ribosomal RNA", at positions 28 to 507 of the family's 1533-position model. The record is from RNAcentral.
GACUAACGCUGGCGGCGUGCUUAACACAUGCAAGUCGAACGGAAAGGCCCUGCUGUUUUGGUGUGCUCGAGUUUCGAACGGUUGAUUAACACGUGAUUAACCUGCCCUUGGCUUUGGGAUUACUUCAGGAAACUGGGGCUAAUACCCGAUAGGUGCUCCUGCUUCAUGUUGUGGUUUGGAAUGUUUCUGCGGUUGGGGAUUUACUCGCGGCUUAUCAGCUUGUUGGUGGGGUAGUGGCUUACCAAGGCUUUGACGGGUAGCAGGACUGGGAGGGUGACAGGCCACAGUGGGAUUGAGAUACGGCCAAGACUCAGACGGGAGGGAGAAGUGGGAAAGAGGGAACAAGGGGCGGAAGCCUGAUGCAGCAACGCCGAGGGCGGGAUAACGGCAAGCGGGUUGUAAACCGAUAACGCCUGUGACGAAGAGUGAGUGACGGUAAUAGGCAAAGAAGGACCGGCUAACUACGUG